GACGAACCGUGCGAACGUUGUUCGGAAUCACUGGGCUUAAAGGGCGCGUAGGCGGCUGCACCAGUCUCGGGUGAAAUCUUUCGGCUUAACCGGAAACGUGCCUGGGAUACUGUGCAGCUAGAGGGAGAUAGGGGCGGACGGAACUUCCGGUGGAGCGGUGAAAUGCGUUGAUAUCGGAAGGAACGCCGGUGGCGAAAGCGGUCCGCUGGAUCUCUACUGACGCUGAGGCGCGAAAGCCAGGGGAGCAAACGGG
This 253-nucleotide ribosomal RNA is filed under the name uncultured bacterium. Its description in RNAcentral is "partial 16S ribosomal RNA". It matches the Rfam family "Bacterial small subunit ribosomal RNA", at positions 524 to 776 of the family's 1533-position model. The record is from RNAcentral.